RNAcentral lists this non-coding RNA (30 nucleotides) under Rattus norvegicus (Norway rat). Lineage: Eukaryota; Metazoa; Chordata; Mammalia; Rodentia; Muridae. The record is from RNAcentral.
UCAUCAGAGAGGCCAACGGGUUUAUCCGAC